This 292-nucleotide ribosomal RNA is filed under the name uncultured bacterium. Its description in RNAcentral is "partial 16S ribosomal RNA". It matches the Rfam family "Bacterial small subunit ribosomal RNA", at positions 505 to 796 of the family's 1533-position model. The record is from RNAcentral.
GUGCCAGCCGCCGCGGUAAUACGUAGGGUGCGAGCGUUGUCCGGAUUCACUGGGUGUAAAGGGAGCGCAGGCGGAUUGGCAAGUCAUUGGUGAAACUCUCAGGCUCAACUUGAGAACGUACAAUGAUACUGCCGAUCUUGAGUGCGGAAGAGGAAGACGGAAUUCCUGGUGUAGCGGUGAAAUGCGUAGAUAUCAGGAAGAACACCGGUGGCGAAGGCGGUCUUCUGGUCCGCUACUGACGCUCAUGCUCGAAAGCGUGGGGAGCAAACAGGAUUAGAAACCCCUGUAGUCC